This 253-nucleotide ribosomal RNA is filed under the name uncultured bacterium. Its description in RNAcentral is "partial 16S ribosomal RNA". It matches the Rfam family "Bacterial small subunit ribosomal RNA", at positions 524 to 776 of the family's 1533-position model. The record is from RNAcentral.
UACGUAGGGGGCAAGCGUUGUCCGGAAUUAUUGGGCGUAAAGAGUGCGUAGGCGGUGUCCUAAGUUUGUUGUGAAAUCUCCCGGCUUAACCGGGAGGGUGCGGCGAAGACUGGGAUGCUGGAGUGCGGGAGAGGGAUGCAGAAUUCCAGGUGUAGCGGUGAAAUGCGUAGAUAUCUGGAGGAAUACCGGUGGCGAAGGCGGCAUCCUGGACCGGCAUUGACGCUGAGGAGCGAAAGCUAGGGGAGCAAACGGG